AUGAACGCUGGCGGCGUGCCUAAUACAUGCCAGUCGAGCGAACAGACGAGGAGCUUGCUCCUCUGACGUUAGCGGCGGACGGGUGAGUAACACGUGGAUAACCUACCUAUAAGACUGGGAUAACUUCGGGAAACCGGAGCUAAUACCGGAUAAUAUAUUGAACCGCAUGGCUCAAUAGUGAAAGACGGUUUUGCUGUCACUUAUAGAUGGAUCCGCGCCGCAUUAGCUAGUUGGUAAGGUAACGGCUUACCAAGGCAACGAUGCGUAGCCGACCUGAGAGGGUGAUCGGCCACACUGGAACUGAGACACGGUCCAGACUCCUACGGGAGGCAGCAGUAGGGAAUCUUCCGCAAUGGGCGAAAGCUUGACGGAGCAACGCCGCGUGAGUGAUGAAGGUCUUCGGAUCGUAAAACUCUGUUAUUAGGGAAGAACAAAUGUGUAAGUAACUAUGCACGUCUUGACGGUACCUAAUCAGAAAGCCACGGCUAACUACGUG
This 496-nucleotide ribosomal RNA is filed under the name uncultured bacterium. Its description in RNAcentral is "partial 16S ribosomal RNA". It matches the Rfam family "Bacterial small subunit ribosomal RNA", at positions 29 to 507 of the family's 1533-position model. The record is from RNAcentral.